Molecule: long non-coding RNA, 796 nt
Organism: Bombus terrestris (buff-tailed bumblebee)
Lineage: Eukaryota; Metazoa; Arthropoda; Insecta; Hymenoptera; Apidae
Exons: 3
Source: RefSeq, a predicted model, not a curated record
UCGAGUCUUUGCACGUGUUGUAUGCUCUAUUUCUUAUUUUCCCCAAAGUUAUUGUGAGUUCAAGGACAAGUUUUAAUACGUCAUUCUAUAAGAGGUGGUGCGUGGUGGUAGUUUCUAUUUGUUGAUUUGCUUGCCGAGUUUUAGGUUAUAUUGUAUCAUGGGUACUGACAUGUCUGGAGCUGUAGAGUGUAAGAAAAAGAAAAGAAAUAGAGGGAAGCGCAGGCCGUUCGUACCUCCUGUGGUCGAAGUUUUUAGAUACAAAUGCCUGCGCCAAGAUCAGUUUUCCGGAGGAAAUUCCUGAUGAAGUGUUGGAAGCCUAUCUACGCCACCAUUCCUUAGGUCAGGGGGAUAUCUGUCCGGACGCACUCUCUUGGUGUCUAGAUAGGUUUAGUGAGAUGUACCCGGAUGCUUCGUAUAUGAAUUUUCAGUUUGUUUAGUAACAGUAUUUUAUGUGUAUAUGUGCCUGGUGUUGUUUGUUAAAGUGUUUCUGUAUACUGAGUAACUCGUGUGACAUUUGCAUUGUUUUGGUUAUGUAUGAUACAUAUAUGUAUAUAUAUAUAUAUUUUAUUUCAUAGCGUGAUUCUUUUGAAUUUGACUACAUGAUAAUAUUUUUAUUACUAUUGUGUUACACUUUAUUUAUUUAAAUUAGUAAGUUUUGUUUUGGAUGUACAUAUAUGUUUUGUAGUUUAGGUUAUGUUUUGCUUGUUCUAUGUAUAUAUAGUAAUUGAUUUAGUAAUGUAUUACACACAUAUAUAUGUAUAUCUUCAGGAUGUAAUUUUCUAAUAGGACAGACAAU